RNAcentral lists this ribosomal RNA (301 nucleotides) under uncultured bacterium. Its description in RNAcentral is "partial 16S ribosomal RNA". It matches the Rfam family "Bacterial small subunit ribosomal RNA", at positions 509 to 809 of the family's 1533-position model. The record is from RNAcentral.
CAGCCGCCGCGGGAAUACAGAGGGUGCAAGCGUUAAUCGGAAUUACUGGGCGUAAAGCGCGCGUAGGUGGUUUGUUAAGUUGGAUGUGAAAUCCCCGGGCUCAACCUGGGAACUGCAUCCAAAACUGGCAGGCUAGAGUAGGGCAGAGGGUGGUGGAAUUUCCUGUGUAGCGGUGAAAUGCGUAGAGAUCGGAAGGAACAUCUGUGGCGAAGGCGACUAUCUGGGCCAACACUGACACUGAGGCACGAAAGCGUGGGGAGCAAACAGGAUUAGAUACCCCCGUAGUCCCUGUCUCUUAUAA